RNAcentral lists this ribosomal RNA (490 nucleotides) under uncultured bacterium. Its description in RNAcentral is "partial 16S ribosomal RNA". It matches the Rfam family "Bacterial small subunit ribosomal RNA", at positions 29 to 507 of the family's 1533-position model. The record is from RNAcentral.
AGUGAACGCUGGCGGUAGGCCUAACACAUGCAAGUCGAACGGCAGCACAGGAGAGCUUGCUCUCUGGGUGGCGAGUGGCGGACGGGUGAGGAAUACAUCGGAAUCUGCCCAGUCGUGGGGGAUAACGUAGGGAAACUUACGCUAAUACCGCAUACGACCUUCGGGUGAAAGAGGGGGAUCGCAAGACCUCUCGCGAUUGGAUGAGCCGAUGUCGGAUUAGCUAGUUGGCGGGGUAAUGGCCCACCAAGGCGACGAUCCGUAGCUGGUCUGAGAGGAUGAUCAGCCACACUGGAACUGAGACACGGUCCAGACCCCUACGGGAGGCAGCAGUGGGGAAUAUUGGACAAUGGGCGCAAGCCUGAUCCAGCCAUACCGCGUGGGUGAAGAAGGCCUUCGGGCUGUAAAGCCCUUUUGUUGGGAAAGAAAUCUUUCAGGCUAAUACCCUGGGAGGAUGACGGUACCCAAAGAAUAAGCACCGGCUAACUUCGUG